AUCCGGCUGACGAGUCCUAAAUAGGACGAAACGCGCGUCCCGUAU
This 45-nucleotide non-coding RNA is filed under the name Schistosoma mansoni. Lineage: Eukaryota; Metazoa; Platyhelminthes; Trematoda; Strigeidida; Schistosomatidae. The record is from RNAcentral.